RNA transcript from Zea mays, 2443 nucleotides. RefSeq lists it as uncharacterized. The transcript has 5 exons. NCBI's taxonomy places the organism in Eukaryota, Viridiplantae, Streptophyta, Magnoliopsida, Poales, Poaceae. The record is from RefSeq and is marked validated.
UUUUUUUUCUCCGCUCGAAGCCCUCCUAUCUCGAUCGAUUUUCUCUCUGCUCUGACGGCUCUUGGGAAACCCUAGCCGUCGGGCGCCCUGGGCAAGCCCACCGGAGGACGCCGGAGCCGAAGGGGAGUCGCAAACGCAGAGAUCCGGCUACAACGUGGCUUUCCCGACCGGUUGUGGCGGCGAUUUCGCAUCACAUAGAUCCGCUCGUGGCCUUCCCUUCUGCGCGGUCGGUGGAUCCUCUGGAGCUCCGCUGGCGCCCCGAGCAGGGCUCUCUCGGCGUGGAGGGCGGAGGCAAGGGACGGGUGUGGCAGCGGCUUCGGCCAGCCCACGGCUCCCAGCCCCUGGCGGGCAGCACUCAGUCCCUGGCGGCGAGCUCGUAUUCCCAGACCUUGCCUCCACUUUCUGGUGGUUCUAGCAGCAAUUCGAUUUCUGGUGAGAAAUUUCACUCCGAAGAUGGUUCAACUCUUUUUGCAAGUGCCGGCAGAAUGCGGCAGUGUUAAUACAGUUGUCGUGGAAGGGAGGAGAUCUCUUUUUCACAAUGUUGAGUCCAUAAUCAAGUCAUUGACAAAAUCAGCAGGCAGGUAUGAAGCUCGGCUGUGGCUCUGUGCCACUGUCUCGUUGGUCCAUUCGCUCAGUGACUGUGGCCAGAGGGACCUGUUUCUUGAUCUCUUAGAGAGGAAGAAUUCCAGGCGUGAUGUCGCUGCUCGCUUGCUGCGUAUGAUUUUCGAUAAGAAACCCAGAAUGGUUGGGUCUAUUCUAGCAAGAAAAGGCCAUAUACUGGAGGAUUUCUUCCGAGGAAAUCCAAACAGGAUAAUGCAGUGGUUUGGCCACUUUGCUGUUACUGGGGAAUCCACACAUAGAAAGGGAGCUAAGGCACUUUCGCAGUUUGCGUUUGUAAAUCGUGACAGGUGCUGGGAAGAACUUGAGUGGAAAGGCAAGCAUGGGCAAUCUCCGGCUGUAGUUGCUACCAAGCCUCACUAUUUUCGUGAUCUUGAUGUUCUCGAGACAGUGGAGAAUUUCUUAGAGUAUGUCCCAGAUUUCUGGUCUUCUGAUGAGCUUGCUAAUUCUAUCAAAGAUGGUGAAAUACUGCAAAUCGAUGAAGAAUAUUUUGUAGAUCAAUUUUUAUACUUAAUGUAUGAGGAGAAUUCCAAAGAUGCAUGGCAUGUGGUUGAAGAUUUUUUGAUGGACGAGCAGUUCUCUUCUCUUUGCCAGCAUCUUCUUAUCCAUCUGGAUGAGGAAAGGCUUCUUGGUUUCUUAAAUUCUUUAGGCAAGCUCAUCAAUCCUACUAUGCAGUGCAAGGAAUUGACAUUCCCGUGUUGUUGGCUUGAAGUUCUUUUAUCAGGACAUUAUGAUCACAUAUCUCUUGAUGAUCUUGUCUUUUUGAACUGUGUCAUUGCCAAGGGUAGACAACUUUGGCGGCUCAUGAACGAUGAAGAACAACACGAAGAAUGGGGGCAAAUGGAAGAACUUUUGAAGGGCGGAAACCAUUUGACUGAUGCUGAUCAUUUUGCUCUCAUGAAGGAACUUGUGGAGACAGAAUUACCUGGUGUGCUUAAGUGGGUAGGCAUUCAGUCCUGGAUAAUUUUCUGUGAAUUGUCGAAAGAAUGCAAAUCAGGAGAUUCUUGUGAAUCUUUUUUCUCUCAUAACAAAAUAGAAUUUCACAAGGCUGAUGAUUACUCAUUGGUUCGGAAUUAUGGGUUCUCAAUUUCACAUAUGCCUGAUAUUGAUGUUGAAGAUCUAACUAGAAGCAGCCAUAAAAGGAGAAAGAGGAAUAGGAGAAAGCGCCAUAGGUACGAGUCUGAUGAGGACAAGUUUGAUGAACUGCUUGAACUUGGAUCAUCUGAUGGAAAGAAUGGUGUUGAGUCACAGCGUGGAAGCUGGCGCCUUUCAACUGAUGGUUUCUCUGCUUCUUGGGACAUUUCAGACAUACCAGAUCACCUUUCUACUUGUUAUUUCACAAUUUGGGUAAAGUGGGCUUGCUUUAGAUGAUUGUCUACACAGUAUGUGUAGUAUAUCAAUCUGGGUGCCUUUUCAGCUACAGAAUCUAUGAGCAUGGAGCUCAGGCAGGCAUAUUUCUGCACUAAUUCUGCAACAUUUUGGUGAUGGGUUCUGAUGAUGCAUUCUGGGAUUGCUGAACGCUGCAUGAGAUCCAGGACAACUCUCUUUAGUUGGGAUGCUGAAGGUUGACACCUGUUGAAGAAUUUUGGUUGCAUAGGCAUUGAAUAUGGUCCAGGCAUUUCCUUGAAACCCAUUUGGACUUUGGAGUUAGUUGUAGAGAACUCAGGUAUUGACUAAGCUAAGCAAAAACGAGUUUGUAAUUGUGUUGUCUAGUGCUAGCGACAUUUUGCCAACUACACCUGUUGUAAAUAUACCAGAUUGUUGCUGUGAAUUUGAUUGGAAUUGGGUUGAAUUGGAAUUUAAUUCUUGGGCUGACCUGUUUGGC